This 530-nucleotide long non-coding RNA is filed under the name Homo sapiens (human). RNAcentral describes it as "non-protein coding lnc-ZNF649-3:5". Lineage: Eukaryota; Metazoa; Chordata; Mammalia; Primates; Hominidae. The record is from RNAcentral.
UUUUAUUUAAUAUUUUUGCAUCAAAAAAUGAAAAGAUAUCUUGGAUUAGCUUCGGAAUAAUCCAUAAUCCAUUGCUGGAGAGGGACUGAAUGGUGGUAUAGAUAAAACAAAAUUAGAUGUGAGUUCGUCAUUCUUGAAGUCACAUGAUGAAUAUGUGGAAUUUGAGUAUACUGUUCUUUUGCUUGAAAUUUUUCAUAGUAGAAAGUUAAAAAAUUUUUUUGCCUAUACAUUUAUAAGAGAAAUUGGUCUCUUAAGUUUUUUUCAAGUGAUUAUACUUGAAAAUCACCAGGUUAAAAAAAUAGAAUAAUGUAGCAUCCCAGAAGCCCUCAUCUUCUCUCUCCUCUCCAAAGGUUCUGGCCUAUAGGAACAAGACAUUUUCAGUAAUGGAAGAAGGAGCUUCCAGGCUGGGGAAGAUCAUCAUUUCCAGUGGUAGCUUGACCUGAGAUGAUACCUGACCACCACUUCUGGGAAGGCCCAGAAUAGACAGAAGAGAGAGAACAUACUAGAGUUGCUAGCCCCUAAGAGUUGAA